Molecule: ribosomal RNA, 257 nt
Filed under: uncultured bacterium
Lineage: Bacteria
Description: partial 16S ribosomal RNA
Rfam family: Bacterial small subunit ribosomal RNA
Source: RNAcentral
UACGUAGGGGGGCGAGCGUUGUCCGGAAUCACUGGGCGUAAAGCGCGCGUAGGCGGCUGUGCGCAUCCGGUGUGAAAGCCCCCGGCUCAACUGGGGGGAGGACACUGGAGAUGGCGCAGCUAGAGGACCGUAGAGGCAAGGGGGAAGUCCCGCAGUAGCGGUGAAAUUCGUAGAUAUCGGGAGGAACACCAGUGGCGAAGGCGGCGAUCUGGGGAAGAUACUGACGCUGAGGUGCGAAAGCGUGGGGAGCAAACAGG